AGUGAACGCUGGCGGCAGGCCUAACACAUGCAAGUCGAGCGGCAGCGGGUCCUUCGGGAUGCCGGCGAGCGGCGGACGGGUGAGGAAUACAUCGGAAUCUGCCCUGUCGUGGGGGAUAACCUAGGGAAACUUAGGCUAAUACCGCAUACGACCUACGGGUGAAAGCGGGGGAUCGCAAGACCUCGCGCGACAGGAUGAGCCGAUGUCCGAUUAGCUAGUUGGCGGGGUAAAGGCCCACCAAGGCGACGAUCGGUAGCUGGUCUGAGAGGAUGAUCAGCCAAACGGGAGAUAGAGACCGCCCCCGAAUCUCAGGGGGGGAGGGAGGGGGGAAAUUGGGAAAAGGGGGGGAAGCCUGUACCCCCCAGGCCGGGGGGGUGAAGAAGGCCUUUGGGUGGUAAAGCCCUUUUUGCCGGGAAAAAAUCGGCUGGGUUAAUACCCCGGGGGGAUGACGGUACCGGAAGAAUAAGCACCGGCUAACUGCGG
RNAcentral lists this ribosomal RNA (483 nucleotides) under uncultured bacterium. Its description in RNAcentral is "partial 16S ribosomal RNA". It matches the Rfam family "Bacterial small subunit ribosomal RNA", at positions 30 to 506 of the family's 1533-position model. The record is from RNAcentral.